UACGUAGGGAGCAAGCGUUGUCCGGAAUCAUUGGGCGUAAAGCGCGCGUAGGCGGCCCUGUAAGUCCGUUGUGAAAGUCAAAGGCUCAACCUUUGAAAGCCGAUGGAUACUGCAGGGCUAGAGUCCGGAAGAGGCGAGUGGAAUUCCUGGUGUAGCGGUGGAAUGCGCAGAUAUCAGGAGGAACACCGAUGGCGAAGGCAGGUCUCUGGGCUGACACUGACGCUCAUGCACGAAAGCGUGGGGAGCAAACAGG
Molecule: ribosomal RNA, 253 nt
Filed under: uncultured bacterium
Lineage: Bacteria
Description: partial 16S ribosomal RNA
Rfam family: Bacterial small subunit ribosomal RNA
Source: RNAcentral